RNAcentral lists this microRNA (22 nucleotides) under Picea abies (Norway spruce). Its description in RNAcentral is "pab-miR482k". Its record names the gene pab-miR482k. Lineage: Eukaryota; Viridiplantae; Streptophyta; Pinopsida; Pinales; Pinaceae. The record is from miRBase by way of RNAcentral.
UCUUCCCUAAACCUCCCAAACC